CCAAAGUUUUAUUUUAGCUUAAAAAAUUGUAUAUUUUUAAAAUUUACAUGUAAAUUUUGUUAAUUAAAUAGAUUAUUUGCAGUAAUUAAUUUUAUAUUUUUUGUUAUUAAAGAAUUAGUUAUAAAUCAAUGUUUUGACUAAAUUUGUGCCAGCAGUCGCGGUUAUACAAUUAAAGCAAUAUAAUUUUAUUAAUUAAUAUAAAAUUUAUUAUUAUAAAUUAUUUUAAUGUAAAUAAAGGUGAAAUUUUUUUUAUAUUAUGUAGUUUUUUAUUGUUAAUUAUUUUAUGAAAUUUAAAUUUUAAACAAGGAUUAGAUACCCUUUUAUUAUAAAUAUAAAUUGUUAAAUUGAUUAGUAUUAGCUAUGUUCUUGAAAUUUAAAGAUUUUGGCGGUAUUUUAGUCCAGUUAGAGGAAUCUGUCUUGUAAUUGAUAUACCACGAUAUUUAUAACUUUAUUUUUGUUUGUAUAUCGUUGUUGGAAAAGAUUUUUUAAAAAUGAAUUUUUGUUUUUUUUAUAUUAGAAAUUAAUUCAAAUCAAGGUGCAGCUGUAGUAAAGAGAUAGAUGGAUUACAAUGAAUAUAUUUUAGGAUAAUUUUAUAUUAUAAAUUUUGAGUUUGGAUUUAAAAGUAAUUUUAAUGUUUUAGUUAAAAUGAUUUUGGCUCUAUAAUAUGCACAUAUUGCCCGUCGCUUUCAUAUUAAUUUGGAAUAAGUCGUAACAUAGUAGAUUUACUGGAAGGUGUAUCUAGAAAGUC
RNAcentral lists this non-coding RNA (748 nucleotides) under Pseudocolaspis sp. PSE01. Lineage: Eukaryota; Metazoa; Arthropoda; Insecta; Coleoptera; Chrysomelidae. The record is from RNAcentral.